AUCAAUUUGAAUUUUGAAUUUUGAAUUUGGUCGAAUUCAGAUUAGGAGAUAAAAGAAAUUCUGCCUAUUUCUUAAAGUGCACAUUUAGGGCAAUUGCAUCUAAAUUGAUUUGAUGUCAAAUCCUUCUUUUAACACCAGAAUUUUCGUCCAUAUUUCUGAUCUGAGAGAAAUUUACAUUUUUCUUUUCUGAUUCUAUUUGUGGGGUUUUGAUACUUUCCUUUUUGGGUAGAUUUAA
Molecule: long non-coding RNA, 235 nt
Filed under: Manihot esculenta (cassava)
Lineage: Eukaryota; Viridiplantae; Streptophyta; Magnoliopsida; Malpighiales; Euphorbiaceae
Description: long non-coding RNA (MESC_LNC007300)
Source: RNAcentral